AUGUCGACGGGAGCGGGAGCGGAACCGGAGAUGGACGACGGUUACGGCUUUGACACGGUCUUCAACGUGGAGGCUUUCUCCGACAGGACGCUGCAGGUAGAGGUCGUCGGCCGCGACGACCACGCGCCUGGGUCCGGCCGCAAGCGCCGCCGCGAGGAGGACAAAGAAUAUGAUGGAGAACAUAUUGACUCGUUUUGUACUGUGAUGAGUACACCAGUUUUACGAGUGGAGACCAUAUAUGUGAGCUCGGCGAUUCUUGCUGCAAAAAGUAGUUUCUUUCGCAAGCUUUUCUCAAAUGGCAUGAAAGAAUCUGGUCAGAGAGAGGCAACAGUUAGACUUGCUGAUUCAGAGGAAAAGGCCUUCAUGGAGCUUUUACGCUUCAUGUACAUGGGAAAGUUGACACCAACAACUGAGCCCACUCAUCUGGUUGACAUCUUGAUGGCUGCUGACAAAUUUGAGGCCAUUUCUUGCAUGAAGCUUUGUGUGCCAGCUGUCCUAACAGAGGCAGUCAUGAAAUUCCUUGCUGAACGGUACAAGGAAUUCCUGUCAACAGAGUCCCAAGAUGAACUGAUGAGGAUCCCUGGUGCUGGGAUUGAAGCCAUCCUAAGAAGGAAUAGCUUUGGGUUUGCAUCUGAAGUAGCUGUCUAUGACUUCGUGCUUAGGUGGACCUGUUAUCAGUGCCCAAAUUCAGAAGAAAUACGGAAGUUCUCGAGUAAUAUUUUACUUCCGGUUGUGCAACAAAUGCACAUGUUGACCAAUGCCUUUGCAAUGUUCACCAACGCCAUUGCAGUUGAUCAUCCGUCUGGUAUAAUUAACUUCACUAUAAAUCGUGAGAAGUGCUUCAGUCUCUUCCCAUCAGGAUCAAUGAAUUCGCUGCCGUUCCACUGCGGGGACCAUGUCUUCUAUCUCUCGGCAUGCUGUGCUAUGAAGGAGCAGCUCCAAUAUUUUUACCUUGGAAUACAAGUGCUAACAUAUACCAAGGGGGCAGCAAGGGGGGCAAUAGAUUAUAAGUUUGAGGCAAAGAGAACACCGUCGCUGGAGUUUGUCACCAUGUUUAGUCGCACCAUCAACUCCGAUAGCAGGGUAGCUGUUCGAUGCAAGUUUCUUUGGUCGCAGUUCAUUGCUGACAACAACCCGUUCUUCGUUGAGGACAAACUCCAUUUGCGAGUCCAUGUGACCACAAAACCGCUGCAGCCAUAG
RNAcentral lists this ribosomal RNA (1200 nucleotides) under Triticum aestivum (bread wheat). Its description in RNAcentral is "partial small subunit ribosomal RNA". Lineage: Eukaryota; Viridiplantae; Streptophyta; Magnoliopsida; Poales; Poaceae. The record is from RNAcentral.